Pipra filicauda (Wire-tailed manakin) is the source of this 447-nucleotide long non-coding RNA. RefSeq lists it as uncharacterized. The transcript is spliced from 2 exons. Lineage: Eukaryota; Metazoa; Chordata; Aves; Passeriformes; Pipridae. The record is from RefSeq and is a predicted model, not a curated record.
CCCGGAGCAUCCCUGCCAGGGGCUCACCCCAGCCCUUGGUGGGGACCGCAGUGCCGCCCACCCGACCCCGCUGGGAGCCUCCAAUGCUUCUUCCCCCCCUUCCAUCUCACUCUCCCACCUUUCCCUCCCAGAGCAGCUCCCGGCUCCGGAAUCGCAGCCCUGUAUAUUAAAAAAGUUUUCUUUGAAGCAAUAUCGCAGCUCUCUCCCGAAUUUGCUUCCUGCCUUAUGAACCCUUGGAUGCAAUCACCGGCAGCUCUCAAGGUUUCUGCUGCAAUUAGAGAUGUUUUCCAGAGUGAGGAUCAGGUGCUCAGCAGGAGCCAAGGCGGCCGGAGGCUCCACAAUCCCAGGCUCCACAACCAGGAUAACCAACUCAGCAUCUCCUUGAGCCUGGAAGCCUCCCCCCCCUUCACACCUCUCUCUUUCUCUAAUUAAAGAUAAUCACCUGCA